GGUUUCGAUCUCGUUGGAGAUGGAGAGAGGUAGUCCGCCAGCAGCGGUGACAGCAGCGAAUCGCGACGUCGUCGACCAGGAGUGCCCUGUUUAGGUGAGAUGGCGCAGGAUCGUCAUCUAGUAGCGGUGGCGGCGAAUCGCGGCAGCGCUGGUCUGGGGCGCCGUAUUUGGGCGAGGCGGAGCAGGGUCGUCGACCAGUACGCCCGAUCUGGGUAGGUUUGGAUCAGCGUCAUCCAGCCAAGGCAGUGGCGACCACAACAUCUGAUUUGGGCAGAUCGAGCUAUAGCGUUACCCGGCAUGGCAGCGACUGACACGGACCAUGAGGCCAAGCUGCCAAUUUAAUCCAACGCCAUGGCUACGACUCAAGCUACCAGAUUGGAUUGUACAUUGCAGGGCAGAUGGGGUAGUGCUCGAUGCAAGUUCUCUCAGCAGACUGAAUGGGUGGUUCCCGUCUCAUGAGUAUUUGGCCGUGGUACUGAGGCCACAAUACAGAGGAACGAGCAUUUGAAAGAGCACGGUAUGGUUACCGUGAAAUCAUUCCCACCUUGAAACUGUUUGGGAGGUGCAUGUAUAUAUGCAAUGCUGAUUUUCAGAGAUGGUGGUUUUUUGGUGUGUCUCAAGUGAUCAGGCAGGGCGUCCUAAUGACAUUUGACAUGAUAUACAAGUGAAGAUCAAGAAGGGCAGAAUGAUCAAAUUUGCACUACACCAACAAUCACAUGUUGUUUUGUGCCUUGUGCUUUAUCACCUGGAACAAAACCAAAAUAGAGACUACCCUUGAUGACAACAAACCUAGCUUGCACCUUUUGAAGAUUUCGUUGAAUUUUGUGAGACGCUAGUUGCGGUCUUUUGGAUGUAUUCUUAGCUCAAAGAGACAGUUCAUGUAUAUUAUGUGUUCUCCAUGCCACUGUUAAUGUCACUUAGUCGUUGUAGGUUUGCUGUAGGUUUAGGGGGUGCAGCUAAGUUGCAGCUACUUGGUUGUACUCCAUAUUGUUAUUGUCCUGCAGAUCGCAGUU
Long non-coding RNA from Lolium perenne, 1013 nucleotides. RefSeq lists it as uncharacterized. Lineage: Eukaryota; Viridiplantae; Streptophyta; Magnoliopsida; Poales; Poaceae. The record is from RefSeq and is a predicted model, not a curated record.